This 624-nucleotide long non-coding RNA is filed under the name Ananas comosus (pineapple). RNAcentral's name for it is "long non-coding RNA (ACOM_LNC038619)". Lineage: Eukaryota; Viridiplantae; Streptophyta; Magnoliopsida; Poales; Bromeliaceae. The record is from RNAcentral.
UGUACGAGUUAUCGGGAGUUUUCGUUCAAACAUUUCGGGUGCGUUUGGUUCGCAUUAUUUUUUAAAGAUUUCUAGUAAUUUAAUGGGAAUAAAAAUAUAUAACGGUGUUUGGCUAAACGCACNAUUUUUCUCUCUAAAAUUCAACUUUUUUUUCUCACUCUAAACUAAGUUUUCUCUCUCUCUCUCUUUCUAAAAUUUCAACUCUCUCUCACUCCCUCUAAUUUCGACUAUAUUUUUCUUUCUAUUUUUUUAAUUAUGCUCUCUCUCUCUAACUUAUACUCUCUCUCCCUUUUUUUCUAAAAAGAUGUUGAAACUUUUAGUAACAUUAUAUAAAAUUAAUUAAAUAAAUAAAUUAAUUGUAUAUUUUUUGUAAUAUUAAAUAAUAUGACUAAUUAAUAUUACCGUGUGAACCAAACAUAUGAAUUCCACAUUCUUAGUAAUAGGAUGAAUAUGAAUAAGAUUCUCGAAUAUCUUCUAUUCCUAGUAAUCUUUCAUAAUGCGAACCAAACGCACCCUUAUAUUUAUCUGAAUCUCAUUCUAAAUAAAUAAACAAAUCGAAUAGCAUACUAUCUUUCUCUUAAAAAAAAAUAAAUAAAUAAAAUCAAUUGAAAGUGAAUAUAUAUG